Molecule: unclassified non-coding RNA, 283 nt
Filed under: Rhizophagus clarus
Lineage: Eukaryota; Fungi; Glomeromycota; Glomeromycetes; Glomerales; Glomeraceae
Description: partial contains 5.8S ribosomal RNA and internal transcribed spacer 2
Rfam family: 5.8S ribosomal RNA (bases 1-71)
Source: RNAcentral
GUGAAUCAUCGAAUCUUUGAACGCAAAUUGCACUCUCUGGCAUUCCGGAGAGUAUGCCUGGUUGAGGUUCAGUAUAAUCAAAAUCGGGGCGGUGCUUUUUGGGUGACGCACCGGGGUUUGGGUCAUCUUAACUCUUUUUUUGAAGAUACCUAAAAUUAACAUUCUUUUUUGCUCACUUUGAACCGUACAUAAUUUUUUUUUAUUCGUCUACCCUGGGGGCUAAAAUUUUAUUAGAUCGUGAGUCAUGUAUAGGUGUCUCGCGUCUAUAAUUAUCUUUAUUGGA